AGCAGCCGCGGUAAUUCCAGCUCCAAUAGCGUAUAUUAAAGUUGUUGCAGUUAAAAAGCUCGUAGUUGAAUUUCGGGAUUUGUCAGUUGGUCGGGCUUCACUGUCCGUACUGACUUGAUGGAUUCUUACCUUCUGAAUAACCAGCAUGCUAUUUAGUUAGUGCGUUGGGGAAGCAGAUCUAUUACCUUGAAAAAAUUAGAGUGCUUAAAGCGGGCUAGUGCUUGAAUAGAUUAGCAUGGAAUAAUAAAAUAGGACGGCAUGGUUCUAUUUUGUUGGUUUCUAGGAUCACCGUAAUGAUUAAUAGGGAUAGUUGGGGGCAUUAGUAUUCAAUUGUCAGAGGUGAAAUUCUUGGAUUUAUUGAAGACUAACUUCUGCGAGAGCAUUUGCCAAGGAUGUUUUCAUUAAUCAAGAACGAAAGUUAGGGGAUCGAAGACGAUCAGAUACCGUCGUAGUCUUAACCAUAAACUAUGCCGACUAGGAAUCGGACGAAGUUAAUUUUAUAUGACUCG
RNAcentral lists this ribosomal RNA (509 nucleotides) under uncultured Acaulospora. RNAcentral describes it as "SSU rRNA". It matches the Rfam family "Eukaryotic small subunit ribosomal RNA", at positions 569 to 1078 of the family's 1831-position model. Lineage: Eukaryota; Fungi; Glomeromycota; Glomeromycetes; Diversisporales; Acaulosporaceae. The record is from RNAcentral.